UUUGGAGGGCAAGUCUGGUGCCAGCAGCCGCGGUAAUUCCAGCUCCAAUAGCGUAUAUUAAAGUUGUUGCAGUUAAAAAGCUCGUAGUUGAAUUUCGGGAUCAGCAGGUUGGUCGUGCCUCUGGUAUGUACUGGCCUUGCUGAUUCCUCCUUCUUGAAGAACCGUAAUGCCAUUAAUUUGGUGUUGCGGGGAAACAGGACUGUUACUUUGAAAAAAUUAGAGUGUUUAAAGCAGGC
RNAcentral lists this ribosomal RNA (236 nucleotides) under Glomus sp. RNAcentral describes it as "partial small subunit ribosomal RNA". It matches the Rfam family "Eukaryotic small subunit ribosomal RNA", at positions 547 to 785 of the family's 1831-position model. The record is from RNAcentral. Lineage: Eukaryota; Fungi; Glomeromycota; Glomeromycetes; Glomerales; Glomeraceae.